UCUUGGUUUUAAAUUAAUAUAUUAUAUUUACCAGAGUACUAUGAACAUAAUAAAGUUUAAAACUCAAAGGGCUUGGCGGUAUUUUAGACCUCUUAGGGGAACCUGUCUCGUAAUCGAUAAUCCACGAUAUACCUGACCUUUUUUUGUAUGCAGCUUGUAUACCGUUGUCGUCAGGUAACUUUUUAGAAAUUAAGAGUUAGCUAUAAGUUCGUAUAAACUGAAACGUCAAAUCAAGGUGCAGCCUAUAAAAAGGCGAGGAUGGGUUACAAUUAUUGAUUUAUAAUACGAAAAGAUCUUAGAAUUAAGAGCUUGAAGGAGGACUUGAAAGUAAAAUACAUUAUAUAGAUAUUUUGAAUAAGGCUCUGAAAUGUGC
RNAcentral lists this ribosomal RNA (373 nucleotides) under Ptychobela suturalis. RNAcentral describes it as "partial small subunit ribosomal RNA". Lineage: Eukaryota; Metazoa; Mollusca; Gastropoda; Neogastropoda; Turridae. The record is from RNAcentral.